GCACCGGUGGUAUAAUGGCUAGUAUCUCAGCCUUCCAAGCUGAUGAUCCGGGUUCGAAUCCCGGCCGGUGCA
RNAcentral lists this transfer RNA (72 nucleotides) under Candidatus Woesearchaeota archaeon. Its description in RNAcentral is "tRNA-Gly". It matches the Rfam family "tRNA". Rfam says of the family: Transfer RNA (tRNA) molecules are approximately 80 nucleotides in length. Their secondary structure includes four short double-helical elements and three loops (D, anti-codon, and T loops). Lineage: Archaea; Nanobdellati; Candidatus Woesearchaeota. The record is from RNAcentral.